Long non-coding RNA from Acyrthosiphon pisum (pea aphid), 1035 nucleotides. RefSeq lists it as uncharacterized. Lineage: Eukaryota; Metazoa; Arthropoda; Insecta; Hemiptera; Aphididae. The record is from RefSeq and is a predicted model, not a curated record. The transcript is spliced from 2 exons.
AAAAUAAAUAAAAACACAUCAUUGUAAAAUCAAUACAAUCAUCGCUCCAAGCAGAAUCUAAAAUAGGUACCUAAAAUACCUACUUAAUACUUAAAUUUCUUCUUUAACUAAUACUGUAAGUACACCAUGCAUAAAUUAUUUAUUGUACCUAAAAUCUUUGUUAAUAAAUUACCUCUGAAUUAUAUAUCUGAACUUGAACUGAUAUUAAUAUUUAAGCCUAAUACCUAGAACCCGACCCCUGUUACAAGUUGUAUUUUAAUAAACAUUUAAUAGCUUAUUAUAACAUCCAUUUAUUAAAAAUCACAUCUCAAAGUUUCAUCCAGUAUUUGUUAAAGUCUAUAUAUUAUAUAGAUCAGAAAUUACCUCAACUUUGCACAUAAUACAUUAUACAACAUAACUACACACAUAUGUUGACUAUGUUAGUUAACUAACUGUUUACCCUCCAAAGCGUUAUCAUAAUAAAUAAAUAACACUUUGUUAUGUUACAGUUACUUAAAAAUAUAUGUUUAUAAGAAUUACAAUUAAAUGUAUUUUUUUGUUUCUUAUAUUCAGCAAAAGAGGGUUUCCAAGCUCCAGAUUAAAUAGGAUAUCAAUGUAUAAAAUGGACUACUCAAUAAUGUUUUCUUCAGUUCAUACAUAUAUUUUGUCAUACCAGUUUCGGAUAGAUGAAAUUACACUUCUGAAUAAUGAUUAAUUUUAAUAAUAAUUUUAUCAUUUUUAAAAUGAAUUAUGAUUGCGAGGAAUGAAACAUUAAAUAAUUGUUAAGAUUGAUAUACCAUACUACCAUUGUCCAACUGUCAAGAAGUAGGUAGGUAGGUAGCCAAUUUUAAAAGUGCAGAUCGUUGAAGACCAAGAUGUGUAGAUGUGAAUUGGAAAGUGGCAACAUAUACCUAGUUCAGACUUCAGAAAUUUAGUUAGACAUGAGUUAUGGAAAUUGGAUUCAUUAAUUUUUGGUCAUUCAAAGUAGCUUUAGAAACCCUAAUAAAUGUAUUUUCUAUCUAAUAAUUGUAUUAAAUAUAAUUAAAUACGAUUUUA